This 73-nucleotide transfer RNA is filed under the name Ailuropoda melanoleuca (giant panda). Its description in RNAcentral is "tRNA-Arg (CCT) (tRNA-Arg-CCT-8-1)". It matches the Rfam family "tRNA". Rfam says of the family: Transfer RNA (tRNA) molecules are approximately 80 nucleotides in length. Their secondary structure includes four short double-helical elements and three loops (D, anti-codon, and T loops). Lineage: Eukaryota; Metazoa; Chordata; Mammalia; Carnivora; Ursidae. The record is from Rfam by way of RNAcentral.
GCCUGGCUGGCUCAGUCAUUAGAGCAUGCAACUCCUGAUCUCAGGGUCAUGGGUUCAAGCCCCAUGUUGGGUG